RNAcentral lists this ribosomal RNA (253 nucleotides) under uncultured bacterium. RNAcentral describes it as "partial 16S ribosomal RNA". It matches the Rfam family "Bacterial small subunit ribosomal RNA", at positions 524 to 776 of the family's 1533-position model. The record is from RNAcentral.
UACAGAGGUCUCAAGCGUUGUUCGGAUUCACUGGGCGUAAAGGGUGCGCAGGCGGCCAAGUGUGUGAGGCGUGAAAGCCCGAUGCUCAACAUCGGAAUUGCACCUCAAACUACAUGGCUAGAGCAUUGGAGAGGGUAGCGGAAUUCACGGUGUAGCAGUGAAAUGCGUAGAUAUCGUGAGGAACACCAGAGGCGAAGGCGGCUACCUGGACAAUUGCUGACGCUCAGGCACGAAAGCGUGGGGAGCAAAAGGG